Molecule: ribosomal RNA, 449 nt
Filed under: uncultured bacterium
Lineage: Bacteria
Description: partial 16S ribosomal RNA
Rfam family: Bacterial small subunit ribosomal RNA
Source: RNAcentral
AACGAACGCUGGCGGCAUGCCUAACACAUGCAAGUCGAACGAAGCCUUCGGGCUUAGUGGCGCACGGGGGCGUAACGCGCGGGAAUCUGCCCUCGGGUUCGGAAUAACAGUUAGAAAUGACUGCUAAUACCGGAUGAUGUCUUCGGACCAAAGAUUUAUAGCACAAGGAUGAGCCCGCGUAGGAUUAGGUAGUUGGUGGGGUAAUGGCCCACCAAGACGACGAUCCUUAGCUGGUCUGAGAGGAUGAUCAGCCACACUGGGACUGAGACACGGCCCAGACUACUACGGGAGGCAGCAGUGGGGAAUAUUGGACAAUGGGCGAAAGCCUGAUCCAGCAAUGCCGCGUGAGUGAUGAAGGCCGUAGGGUUGUAAAGCUCUUUUACCAGGGAUGAUAAUGACAGUACCUGGAGAAUAAGCUCCGGCUAACUCCGUGCCAGCCGCCGCGGUAA